Long non-coding RNA from Musa acuminata AAA Group (dessert banana), 3446 nucleotides. RefSeq lists it as uncharacterized. Lineage: Eukaryota; Viridiplantae; Streptophyta; Magnoliopsida; Zingiberales; Musaceae. The transcript has 6 exons. The record is from RefSeq and is a predicted model, not a curated record.
ACUUGCGAUCGUUGUUUUGGUUGUUGGCUUGCGUGGUUACGCGUCUGCGGUGUCCUUUAAGUGGAUCCUCAGCCAUCCGUAAUCGAUGAUUUCGUUUUCGGAUUGGACGAUCCAUCGAUCGUUGAUUUCGUUUUCCGAUUGGAUGAUCUGUUUCCGAUAGGUGGUGCAUCCAAAUCCUCAGCCAUCCCUUAAUCGUUGAUUUCGUUUUCGGAUUGGAUGAUCUGUUUCCGAUACUUGAAACUGAUCUACUUUCCAUGCGGGGUGUAUCAAAAGCCUUGAAACUGAUCUGUUUGGAUGAUCGUUUUCGGAUUGGAUGAUCUGUUUUCGGAUAGGUGGUGCAUCCAAAUCCUCAGCCAUCCCUUAAUCGUUGAUUUCGUUUACGAAUUGGAUGUUCUGUUCUCGGCACUUGAAAACUGAUCUACUUUCCAUGCCGGGUGUAUCAAAAGCCUUUUGUUCAUGUGGCUUUCGUUUUCGGGGACUUGGACAUUGGUCUUGAACGAAUCGGGUGAUCUAUUUUCAAUCGAGGGCUUCACAAUUUUGCCGGAUUAAGGCCAUUUGCGACAGAUUUUAUAUGUACUUUCGAAGCGGUAGGUGAGGCUUUGGUGUUUGUGUGGGUAUUAUCUUAAUGGAACCCUCGCGGAGUCUGUGAGGCAAUUUGUGAAGGUUGCUCUGGUUUUCCGAAAUGAUCUGAACAAGGGAUGUGUCCUUUUUGAUCUGGUUUAGUUGGCCUUCGUUACUUUCAACUUUUAUUUGUUGCAUUUAUGUCCACCAGUUGGUUAUGUUUGUUUGUUUUUAUUUUUUGUGUGCAAGGGAAAGCUUCUGGAUAUGAUAUUUGAAAGAGAGAUGUGUGUGUUUUGCUACCAUGCUAUGAUAUUUGGUUUGAGAUAUACGCUAACGGUAUCUGCAUCAAUGCUGUGUCUUUUGGAUACUCUAGUUGGAUUUAGACGGGUAUCAGGGAAGAGUUCCAUCAACUUCUCAUUUUUUUGAGGGUUUUUGUGGGCAGUUGCCGAAGCAUCAUCGUUAGGCAUGAUUCUAUUAAAUAGAGAUGAUUCUAUAUGUGUCAUCGACGCUGUUGGUGGGGCUCUGGUGUUUUUGUGAUUAUUAUCUGUAUGGAGCCACACGUAGCUGUGAUGCAGUUUGUAAAGGAUGCUCCAAUUAAGGAUGCUCUGGUUUUUGUUGAAUGAUUUAAAUAGGUUUUCCAUUAGAUAGUGUUAUAUUUAAGGGGUUUCAUUGUUGUGACAUACGUUGCUUAUUAUGAUGGAUCCAGGGCUUCCGAAAUUAUCUGAACAGUGGAUAUGUCCGGUUUGUGCUGGUUUAGUCAGCCCUUGUUACUUUCAAACAUUAAUUGUUGCCCUUACGUGCACAAGUUGGUCAUUUGAUAUGGUUCUCAUCAAAGUAUGGUUGUUUGUUUUUAUUUGUUGUCUGCUAGGGGAAGCUGAUGGACAUCUAGUUUUGCAUGGGCAUGGGACAUUUUUUUGAAAGUGAGAUGUGAGUGUUCUGCUACCUUCCUAUGGUAUUUGGUUUCGAUAUGUUCUACUCUAUCAUCAUUCAUGGAAGAGGUUCCUUUCACUUUUCAUUGGCUAUCUAAUUGUUGAUUGUCUGUCUACUUAUUCCAUUGGCAUGCUUGGUACAUUUUAUAAAUUUGCACUUUUGAAGUCAGUCUUUCUCUUUGUUUUCCGAAUGUCCUAUUUGUAGGGUUUUUGUGUGCAGUUGCAGAAGCAUCAGUAUCAGCAUUAGCCAUAAGCCUGGUUAUUAGGAUUAUGACCUUUCUUGAAUAGAAUUUUUGGUAUGAGACAUACGUUUUGCCUGUUUUAAAAGGAUAGUUUAGAUUUAGGUGUUUAAUUUAUGCAUGUUUGUGAUAUUAAGUUUUUGUCCAAUUGUUAAUUGUUCUUCUUGUUGUGAAUUUUUAGCUGUUACUUGCUUGGCAAGUCUUUUUGGUCAUACUAAUGUCUCAUUUGUCUCUUCUUGGAUUCUUUGUUAGAUUUCUAUUUUGCAGCUUAAUUAUCUUUUUGUUUUAACCUGCCUCUGGUCAUCUGAUGUUUGGUUUCAGUUAGCUUGUAGAUGUUUUUUUAGUAUGACAUUUAAUCAUUUUUUGCUUUGAGUAAAUAACUUUGAUUGGUCUUUACUUUGAUUGGCUCAUGUUCUAUUGUUUUUUAUUCUACUUUAUCUCUUAUUUGUUGGCAUUUUUUAAGUUCUCUGUACAAUUUAUAGUUUUUUGUUCCAUGUAAACUUUUUGUCCUUGUGUGUUUCUAGUGUAACUUUUGACUGGUGUCUUUUAUGUUGCCCUAUAAUGCUGAUGUGGCCUCAUAUGAGAGAUUAUUUUACCGUAAACAAUUCAUCAUGUUGUUUGUUUGCAGGAUUUAAAUUGGGUAUAUGGAAGGUUAUUUUGUUUGCCUAUUUGGUUUAUUACAUCCAGUUGUAUUCUUGGCUGCUCUUUCCAGAUGAAAUUUGGAUUUUCUGUCCUGGUUUUCUACAAUUAGUUAUGACGUUUGGUAGCAGGAUUUUAUUUUGGAGUUAAUACAUUUCUAAAUUGGGUUAAUUACAUCCUUUGGUGUUCUUGGCUGGUUGUAUUAGAGGAAGUCAGAUAAUUUUGUUGAAUAACUUGAAUUCUGUGGUCAUUGUUUCCAUUGGCGUCAUUGCUGUUCAUUUAUUGCCAAAAUGCAGUCCAACAGUGCAAAGUUGUUACAUUUGAAAGGUCAUUAUUUUCACCGACUUUUUGAUCCUCUGGCUUAUAAAAGUUCUCUGCUGCGUUUCUCUUCCUUUUAAUUAACUUCCAUUUCUCUUUUGAAUCAUGUUCCCUUUGUCUUGUGUGGAAGCUAGGACGUGGUAAUGAUUUUACGUACAGGUGAUGUGAACAAUGUAGUUGGAACAUCUACGGAAAGCCUAGCAUGAUUAAACAGAAAUUCAUGGGAAAGACUUUAUUGGCUUUAACUGGUUUUCCCAGGAUUAACAUUAGAUUGAAAAGCUUGGAACUGACAUUUGAAUUGAUCCACUAGUACCUGUUGCUAUUGCCCAUGAUGUUUGCAAGUUUUGGUUCGAUUUUGUUCUUUUCCUGUGUGUACAUGUUUAUAUGGUUCAAAGAACUCUGGAAGGUUGUGUUUGGUUGAAAGGGGGUGGUGCAUUUGGAUUGAGAUUAGCAAAUUGAAAAGAUUGGAAGAUGACUUUUGAUUGAGAUUAGGGCAUUGAGAAGGUUGGAAAAUGAUUCUUUAGUUGAUUCGCAAGUCUCAGUUGCUAUUACCGGUGAUGCUCUGCAAUUUAUGGAUGGAUUUUGUUUUAUUUUCCUGUGCCUACAUAUUUGUAUGUUCCAAAGAACUUUGGAAGUUCUGUUUUUGGUUGAAAACAUGGUGCAAUGGGAUGUUGUAUCUAUUACACAAAUUGGUUGUACCAAAAAUUAUUGUGGACUAGUACUCAGAUUUUGUCAUAAGUUAUCAGAUCAAGGUUUUUGA